Molecule: microRNA precursor, 96 nt
Organism: Pan paniscus (pygmy chimpanzee)
Lineage: Eukaryota; Metazoa; Chordata; Mammalia; Primates; Hominidae
Source: Ensembl
CCUCAGUAAGACCAAGCUUAGUGUGCCAUUUCCUUGUCUGUAGCCAUGUCUAUGGGCUCUUGAGUUGGCCAUCUGAGCGAGGGCCUGCUUAUCCUA